GCUACAUGCUCAUUCUUGUGGAUCCCUUGUUCUGGGGGAAGCCAUCUAUCAUGUCAUGGUAGGCUACAGGGAGUUCCAUGUGGGGAAGAACUGAAACCUCCUCCCAACAGCCAUGUGAGGAAGCUUGGAAAACCUUAGAAGAGUAUCCUUUAAAAAAAAGUUUUAAAUUAAACACAAAUAAAUACAUAAACAGUACAACUGCAAUCUCAUGAGACAUCCCAAGCGAGACAACUCAGCAACAGAUAACGAACACAGACAAACCUCAAAGGUGAGUUAGAAGGGAAUAUGUCGAGACAGGAGAACCAUGAGCCUGGGAUCUUGAGAAUAUGUCAUGGAAGACAGCCUGGAAUACGGUGGCUAAUACUACUGAAUGGCAGAGGAUUGGAAUUUUCAACAAAGAGUGAUAUUCUUGAAUCCCUUAUGAUUGUGGUGACCCAGCCCGCUUCCUAGCUGGGAUGCUCCUUCAUCUGGUUCUGCCUAACUCACCCCUCAGCCCCCACUGCCUUGGGGCUCACAAUCUACUUAAAAAUUUCGAUAUAGUCACUCAUUUAUUCUACAAACAUUUACCAAAGUCCUUUGAUGUGUCAGCUCUAAGCACUCAAGAUGGAGUGGCAGUAGGAUCCCAACACUUAUAUCUGUCCAGAAUUGGUCAUCAGCUGGCUUGAGUUCUCCCAUUCUGCCUGUGCCUUCCCUUAGCAAGGGAAAGAACAAGAUGGAAGAGAAGGAAAAGGCUUGAUUGAACCAGCCAAUAGAUAAUUAGAAGCUGACUAUUUUGCAAUAAUGCAGCACAACAGCAAUAAAUAAAUCAAUCACUUGGGGGGUGGGGAAUGACUUCCCUAUAAUCAGCUAUUAAAGACUUGUACCACUAAUUAGUCUAUUAA
Homo sapiens (human) is the source of this 881-nucleotide long non-coding RNA. Ensembl annotates it as MIR29B2 and MIR29C host gene. Its record names the gene MIR29B2CHG. The record is from Ensembl. NCBI's taxonomy places the organism in Eukaryota, Metazoa, Chordata, Mammalia, Primates, Hominidae.